RNAcentral lists this small nuclear RNA (107 nucleotides) under Castor canadensis (American beaver). Lineage: Eukaryota; Metazoa; Chordata; Mammalia; Rodentia; Castoridae. The record is from RNAcentral.
GUGUUUGCUUAGGCAGCACAUAUACUAAAAAGAGAAUGACACAGAGAAGAUUAGCAUGGUCCCUGUGCAAGGAUGAUGCACAAAUUCCUGAUGUCUCCCACAUAAAA